Neopelma chrysocephalum (saffron-crested tyrant-manakin) is the source of this 431-nucleotide long non-coding RNA. RefSeq lists it as uncharacterized. The record is from RefSeq and is a predicted model, not a curated record. The transcript has 4 exons. Lineage: Eukaryota; Metazoa; Chordata; Aves; Passeriformes; Pipridae.
UGGAUGGAUCCCUUUUGCUUUCUUCACCCCACGGGAAUCCACCGCCCUGAGAUAGAUCUGAUGAUGGACAAACUUUCCCAGCAUCCUCCAGGGACAAGGAUUUGAGAGGUGCACAAGGGAUUCAUCCAGUCUGAUGCACAUACAGGGAUGCUCCAAGCGUUUCCUUAGGGAAUUCCUGUUGCUACGGAGCACUUUAAACGCAGAGCUUCGGAUUCCACCCCCAGGAAACAGAAAUCCAGCUCGUUUCAGCCUGGCUUUGGUUUUUAAACGAGACAGGACAGUGCUAAUCAAGCUCUGGGAGAUUAACUUGAAGAAACCCCUGAUCCAUUCCAGCACUUCUUAUUUCUGGGACACCUGUGCAAUAAUUCCCUGAGCUCCUCCAAACUCCUUUGGCUGCCAUCGAUUUUUGGGCUUAUCAAGCCAAAUGAAAA